RNAcentral lists this ribosomal RNA (356 nucleotides) under Ensifer meliloti. RNAcentral describes it as "Sinorhizobium meliloti bacterial SSU rRNA". It matches the Rfam family "Bacterial small subunit ribosomal RNA", at positions 1000 to 1355 of the family's 1533-position model. The record is from RNAcentral. Lineage: Bacteria; Pseudomonadati; Pseudomonadota; Alphaproteobacteria; Hyphomicrobiales; Rhizobiaceae.
CGAGAGAUCGUAUCCUUCAGUUCGGCUGGAUCGGAGACAGGUGCUGCAUGGCUGUCGUCAGCUCGUGUCGUGAGAUGUUGGGUUAAGUCCCGCAACGAGCGCAACCCUCGCCCUUAGUUGCCAGCAUUCAGUUGGGCACUCUAAGGGGACUGCCGGUGAUAAGCCGAGAGGAAGGUGGGGAUGACGUCAAGUCCUCAUGGCCCUUACGGGCUGGGCUACACACGUGCUACAAUGGUGGUGACAGUGGGCAGCGAGACCGCGAGGUCGAGCUAAUCUCCAAAAGCCAUCUCAGUUCGGAUUGCACUCUGCAACUCGAGUGCAUGAAGUUGGAAUCGCUAGUAAUCGCAGAUCAGCAU